GUGCUCGCUUCAGCAGCACAUAUACUGAAAUUGGAACGACACAGAGAAGAUUAGCAUGGCUCCUGUGCAAAUUCAUGAAGUGUUCCAUAUAUUU
This 94-nucleotide small nuclear RNA is filed under the name Myotis brandtii (Brandt's bat). Lineage: Eukaryota; Metazoa; Chordata; Mammalia; Chiroptera; Vespertilionidae. The record is from RNAcentral.